Molecule: ribosomal RNA, 733 nt
Filed under: uncultured eukaryote
Lineage: Eukaryota
Description: SSU rRNA
Rfam family: Eukaryotic small subunit ribosomal RNA
Source: RNAcentral
UAGUCUGGUGCCAGCAGCCGCGGUAAUUCCAGCUCCAAUAGCGUAUAUUAAAGUUGUUGCAGUUAAAACGCUCGUAGUCGGAUUUCGGGGCGGGCCGACCGGUCUGCCGAUGGGUAUGCACUGGCCGGCGCGUCCUUCCACCCGGAGACCGCGCCUACUCUUAACUGAGCGGGCGCGGGAGACGGGUCUUUUACUUUGAAAAAAUCAGAGUGUUUCAAGCAGGCAGUCGCUCUUGCAUGGAUUAGCAUGGGAUAAUGAAAUAGGACUCUGGUGCUAUUUUGUUGGUUUCGAACACCGGAGUAAUGAUUAACAGGGACAGUCAGGGGCACUCGUAUUCCGCCGAGAGAGGUGAAAUUCUCAGACCAGCGGAAGACGAACCACUGCGAAAGCAUUUGCCAGGGAUGUUUUCACUGAUCAAGAACGAAAGUUAGGGGAUCGAAGACGAUCAGAUACCGUCGUAGUCUUAACCAUAAACCAUGCCGACUAGGGAUUGGAGGAUGUUCCAUUUGUGACUCCUUCAGCACCUUUCGGGAAACUAAAGUCUUUGGGUUCCGGGGGGAGUAUGGUCGCAAGGCUGAAACUUAAAGGAAUUGGCGGAAGGGCACCACCAGGAGUGGAGCCUGCGGCUUAAUUUGACUCAACACGGGGAAACUUACCAGGUCCAGACAUUGUGAGGAUUGACAGAUUGAGAGCUCUUUCUUGAUUCGAUGGGUGGUGGUGCAUGGCCGUUCUU